UACGUUCCCGGGUCUUGUACACACCGCCCGUCACACCGUGGGAGCGGGUUUUACCAGAAGUAGGUAGCUUAACCGCAAGGAGGGCGCUUACCACGGUAGGAUUCGUGACUGGGGUG
RNAcentral lists this ribosomal RNA (116 nucleotides) under uncultured bacterium. RNAcentral describes it as "partial 16S ribosomal RNA". It matches the Rfam family "Bacterial small subunit ribosomal RNA", at positions 1367 to 1482 of the family's 1533-position model. The record is from RNAcentral.